UACGAAGGGGGCUAGCGUUGCUCGGAAUCACUGGGCGUAAAGGGUGCGUAGGCGGGUCUUUAAGUCAGGGGUGAAAUCCUGGAGCUCAACUCCAGAACUGCCUUUGAUACUGAAGAUCUUGAGUUCGGGAGAGGUGAGUGGAACUGCGAGUGUAGAGGUGAAAUUCGUAGAUAUUCGCAAGAACACCGGUGGCGAAGGCGGCUCACUGGCCCGGAACUGACGCUGAGGCACGAAAGCGUGGGGAGCAAACAGG
This 253-nucleotide ribosomal RNA is filed under the name uncultured bacterium. RNAcentral describes it as "partial 16S ribosomal RNA". It matches the Rfam family "Bacterial small subunit ribosomal RNA", at positions 524 to 776 of the family's 1533-position model. The record is from RNAcentral.